Molecule: long non-coding RNA, 574 nt
Organism: Lepus europaeus (European hare)
Lineage: Eukaryota; Metazoa; Chordata; Mammalia; Lagomorpha; Leporidae
Exons: 3
Source: RefSeq, a predicted model, not a curated record
CUGUAGUGGCCCUGCGCGCUGGAAGUUCUCUCCGGCUGCCGCUGCACACCGGCUCGUCCUGCGCGGCUCCCCGCCCUUCCCCGGCAGAGGAGACAAUGCAAAGCACUCGACACCAAACUGCAACAGAUCCACCGUGGGUCUUGGGAAAGUGGAAUAUUUGGAAAAUCUCAACACCACCCAAAGCCUUAGCUUGCUCUCUUAAUGUAGCUCCUGAGUCAGGAGGAAUCCCAACGGCUGCUCUGUUUCCCUUGAAAAGUGUCAACACCUCCUAGGGGCCGGCACCUGCAGUGCAGGCAUCCUGUAUGGGUGCCGGUUCGGGUCCCAGCUGUUCUACUUCCCAUCCAGCUCUCUGCCAUGUCCUGGGAAAGCAGUAGAAGAUGGCCCAAGUCCUUGGGCCCCUGCACCUGCAUGGGAGAUCCAGAAGAGGCUCCUGGCUCCUGGCUUUGGAUGAGCUCAACUCCAGCCAUUGUGGCCACUUGAGGAGUGAACCAGCAGAUGGAAGACUCUCUCUCUCUCUUUCUCUCUCUCUCUCCCUCUCUCUAACUCUGCGUUUCACAUAAAUAAAUAUUUUUAA